This 468-nucleotide ribosomal RNA is filed under the name uncultured bacterium. RNAcentral describes it as "partial 16S ribosomal RNA". It matches the Rfam family "Bacterial small subunit ribosomal RNA", at positions 28 to 507 of the family's 1533-position model. The record is from RNAcentral.
GACGAACGCUGGCGGCGUGCUUAACACAUGCAAGUCGAACGGAAAGGCCCCUUUCGUGUGGGGUGCUCGAGUGGCGCAGGGGAGUGUAACGUGUGAGUAACCUGCCCUUCACUUUGGUAAAACUACAGGAAACUGGGGCAUAUACCAGAUAGGAUCUCCUGGCGCGUUGUGGGGGGGGGAGUGUCUGGGCGGUUGGGUGUGGUCUCGCGGCUUAUCCGCUUUUGGGUGGGGUUGUGGCUUACCAGGGCUUGGACGGGUAGCCGGCCUGAGAGGGUGACCGGCAACGUUGGGACUGGAAUAGGGCCCGGACUCCUCCGGGGGGCAGCAGUGGGGAAAAUUGCACAGUGGGCGGAGGCCGAAUGCGGCAACGCCGCGGGCGGGAUGGCGGCCUUCGGGUGGUAAACCCCUUCCGCCUGUAACAAGGCGUGAGUGACGGUAGUGGGUAAAGAAGCACCGGCUAACUACGUG